UNUGACUUGAGUGCAGAAGGGGAGAGUGGAAUUCCAUGUGUAGCGGUGAAAUGCGUAGAUAUAUGGAGGANCACCAGUGGCGAAAGCGGCUCUCUGGUCUGUCACUGACGCUGAGGCUCGAAAGCGUGGGUAGCGAACAGGAUUAGAUACCCUGGUAGUCCACGCCGUAAACGAUGAGUGCUAGGUGUUAGGCCCUUUCCGGGGCUUAGUGCCGGAGCUAACGCAAUAAGCACUCCGCCUAGGGAGUACGACCGCAAGGUUGAGACUCAAAGGAAUUGACGGGGGCCCGCACAAGCGGUGGAGCAUGUGGUUUAAUUCGAAGCAACGCGAAGAACCUUACCAGGUCUUGACAUCCCGAUGCUAUUCUUAGAGAUAGGAAGUUACUUCGGUACAUCGGAGACAGGUGGUGCAUGGUUGUCGUCAGCUCGUGUCGUGAGAUGUUGGGUUAAGUCCCGCAACGAGCGCAACCCUUAUUGUUAGUUGCCAUCAUUAAGUUGGGCACUCUAGCGAGACUGCCGGUAAUAAACCGGAGGAAGGUGGGGAUGACGUCAAAUCAUCAUGCCCCUUAUGACCUGGGCUACACACGUGCUACAAUGGUCGGUACAACGAGUUGCGAGCCGGUGACGGCAAGCUAAUCUCUGAAAGCCGAUCUCAGUUCGGAUUGGAGGCUGCAACUCGCCUCCAUGAAGUCGGAAUCGCUAGUAAUCGCGGAUCAGCACGCCGCGGUGAAUACGUUCCCGGGCCUUGUACACACCGCCC
Molecule: ribosomal RNA, 759 nt
Filed under: uncultured bacterium
Lineage: Bacteria
Description: bacterial SSU rRNA
Rfam family: Bacterial small subunit ribosomal RNA
Source: RNAcentral